This 497-nucleotide ribosomal RNA is filed under the name uncultured bacterium. Its description in RNAcentral is "partial 16S ribosomal RNA". It matches the Rfam family "Bacterial small subunit ribosomal RNA", at positions 28 to 507 of the family's 1533-position model. The record is from RNAcentral.
GAUGAACGCUGGCGGCGUGCCUAAUACAUGCAAGUCGAGCGAACGGACGAGAAGCUUGCUUCUCUGAUGUUAGCGGCGGACGGGUGAGUAACACGUGGAUAACCUACCUAUAAGACUGGGAUAACUUCGGGAAACCGGAGCUAAUACCGGAUGAUAUUUUGAACCGCAUGGUUCAAAAGUGAAAGACGGUCUUGCUGUCACUUAUAGAUGGAUCCGCGCUGCAUUAGCUAGUUGGUAAGGUAACGGCUUACCAAGGCAACGAUGCAUAGCCGACCUGAGAGGGUGAUCGGCCACACUGGAACUGAGACACGGUCCAGACUCCUACGGGAGGCAGCAGGAGGGAAUCUUCCGCAAUGGGCGAAAGCCUGACGGAGCAACGCCGCGUGAGUGAUGAAGGUCUUCGGAUCGUAAAACUCUGUUAUUAGGGAAGAACAUAUGUGUAAGUAACUGUGCACAUCUUGACGGUACCUAAUCAGAAAGCCACGGCUAACUACGUG